ACGAACGCUGGCGGCGUGCUUAAAACAUGCAAGUCGAACGGGGGCUUCGGCCCCAGUGGCAAACGGCUGAGUAACGCGUGGGUGACCUACCUGGAAGUGGGGAAUAACUGCCCGAAAGGGUGGCUAAUACCGCAUGUGAUGAUCGGACCGAUCCGGUCAUGAAAGUCUUCGGACGCUUCGAGAGGGGCCCGCGUUCGAUUAGCUAGUUGGUGGGGUAAUGGCCUACCAAGGCGACGAUCGAUAGCUGGUCUAAGAGGAUGAUCAGCCAGACUGGGACUGCGGCACGGCCCAGACUCCGACGGGAGGCAGCAGUUAGGAGUUUUGGGCAAUGGGCGAAAGCCUGGCCCAGCAACGCCGCGUGGGUGAUGAAGGCCUUCGGGUCGUAAACCCCUUUUGCCGGGGAAGAUAAUGACGGUACCCGGCGAAUAAGCCACGGCUAACUACGU
Molecule: ribosomal RNA, 446 nt
Filed under: uncultured bacterium
Lineage: Bacteria
Description: bacterial SSU rRNA
Rfam family: Bacterial small subunit ribosomal RNA
Source: RNAcentral